AUUGAACGCUGGCGGCAUGCCUUACACAUGCAAGUCGAACGGCAGCACGGUGGGGAACCCCUGUUGGCGAUUGGCGAACGGGUGAGUAAUAUAUCGAAACGUGUCCUGUAGCUUUGGAUAACCUAUCGAAAGAUGGACUAAUACCGCAUACGACCUACAGGUGAAAGCGGAGGACCGCAAUGCUUCGCACUAUAGGAGCUGCCGAUAUCGGAUUAGCUAGUUGGCGGGGUAACGGCCCACCAAGGCGACGAUCCGUAGCUGGUCUGAGAGGACGAUCAGCCACACUGGAACUGAGACACGGUCCAGACUCCUACGGGAGGCAGCAGUGGGGAAUUUUGGACAAUGGGCGCAAGCCUGAUCCAGCCAUGCCGCGUGAGUGAAGAAGGCCUUCGGGUUGUAAAGCUCUUUCGGCGGGGAAGAAAAGGUUCGUGCUAAUACCACGGACUACUGACGGUACCCGAAGAAGAAGCACCGGCUAACUACGUG
Molecule: ribosomal RNA, 486 nt
Filed under: uncultured bacterium
Lineage: Bacteria
Description: partial 16S ribosomal RNA
Rfam family: Bacterial small subunit ribosomal RNA
Source: RNAcentral